GAGCGAAUGGAUUAGAGAGCUUGCUCUUAUGAAGUUAGCGGCGGACGGGUGAGUAACACGUGGGUAACCUGCCCAUAAGACUGGGAUAACUCCGGGAAACCGGGGCUAAUACCGGAUAACAUUUUGAACUGCAUGGUUCGAAAUUGAAAGGCGGCUUCGGCUGUCACUUAUGGAUGGACCCGCGUCGCAUUAGCUAGUUGGUGAGGUAACGGCUCACCAAGGCAACGAUGCGUAGCCGACCUGAGAGGGUGAUCGGCCACACUGGGACUGAGACACGGCCCAGACUCCUACGGGAGGCAUAAGUAGGGAAUCUUCCGCAAUGGACGAAAGUCUGACGGAGCAACGCCGCGUGAGUGAUGAAGGCUUUCGGGUCGUAAAACUCUGUUGUUAGGGAAGAACAAGUGCUAGUUGAAUAAGCUGGCACCUUGACGGUACCUAACCAGAAAGCCACGGCUAACUACGUGCCAGCAGCCGCGGUAAUACGUAGGUGGCAAGCGUUAUCCGGAAUUAUUGGGCGUAAAGCGCGCGCAGGUGGUUUCUUAAGUCUGAUGUGAAAGCCCACGGCUCAACCGUGGAGGGUCAUUGGAAACUGGGAGACUUGAGUGCAGAAGAGGAAAGUGGAAUUCCAUGUGUAGCGGUGAAAUGCGUAGAGAUAUGGAGGAACACCAGUGGCGAAGGCGACUUUCUGGUCUGUAACUGACACUGAGGCG
Molecule: ribosomal RNA, 710 nt
Filed under: Bacillus thuringiensis
Lineage: Bacteria; Bacillati; Bacillota; Bacilli; Caryophanales; Bacillaceae
Description: bacterial SSU rRNA
Rfam family: Bacterial small subunit ribosomal RNA
Source: RNAcentral